CUGCUGCCUCCCGUAGGAGUCUGGGCCGUAUCUCAGUCCCAAUGUGGCCGGUCAACCUCUCAGUCCGGCUACUGAUCGUCGCCUAGGUGGGCCGUUACCCCGCCUACUAGCUAAUCAGACGCGAGGCCAUCUUCCAGCGAUAAAUCUUUGAUAUCAAAACCAUGCGGUUUCGAUAUGUCAUGCGGUAUUAGCAGUCGUUUCCAACUGUUGUCCCCCUCUGGAAGGCAGGUUCCUCACGCGUUACUCACCA
This 250-nucleotide ribosomal RNA is filed under the name uncultured bacterium. Its description in RNAcentral is "partial 16S ribosomal RNA". The record is from RNAcentral.